GCUCUCACCUUUUCCCUGUUGCUCUUGAAGGAACCAGGUGUGCGACUGAUUUCGCUGAGGUGCCCUCCAUCCUCAUGGAGUACUUUGCCACAGACUAUCGGGUAAUCAGCCAGUUCGCCCGUCAUUAUGAGACCGGACAGCCUCUGCCUGAAAGCAUGGUGGCUCGCUGUGUGAGUCCAAGAAGGUGUGCGGAGCGGCAGACACCCAGCUGCAGGUUUUCUAUGCGGCCUUGGACCAGAUCUACCACGGCAAACCGCAGAACCGCUCCACAACCGAAAUCCUCAAGGAGACGCAGGAGAAGUUCUAUGGCUUGCCUUAUAUACCCAACACGGCGUGGCAGCUGAGAUUCAGCCACCUGAUUGGUUAUGGGGCCAAGUACUACUCGUACCUCAUGUCGCGGGCCGUGGCCUCCAUGGUGUGGAAGCAGUGCUUUGUUCAGGAUCCAUUAAACAGGGACAUGGGCGAGCGUUACCGACGGGAGAUGCUGGCCCACGGAGGAGCCAAAGAGCCCAUGCUGAUGGUGGAAGGCAAGUUCAUGUUUUUUUUACAUAAACA
Fundulus heteroclitus (mummichog) is the source of this 555-nucleotide long non-coding RNA. RefSeq lists it as uncharacterized. The record is from RefSeq and is a predicted model, not a curated record. Lineage: Eukaryota; Metazoa; Chordata; Actinopteri; Cyprinodontiformes; Fundulidae. The transcript is spliced from 5 exons.